Oncorhynchus keta (chum salmon) is the source of this 814-nucleotide long non-coding RNA. RefSeq lists it as uncharacterized. Lineage: Eukaryota; Metazoa; Chordata; Actinopteri; Salmoniformes; Salmonidae. The record is from RefSeq and is a predicted model, not a curated record. The transcript is spliced from 4 exons.
CCAUCUGAGGAACAGACAGACAGGUUAGUCCCAGGUUAUAGAGGAUCCAUCUGAGGGACAGACAGGUUAUAGAGGACCCAUCUGAGGAACAGACAGACAGGUUAUAGAGGACCCAUCUGAGGAACAGACAGACAGGUUAUAGAGGACCCAUCUGAGGAACAGACAGGUUAUAGAGGACCCAUCUGAGGAACAGACAGGUUAUAGAGGACCCAUCUGAGGAACAGACAGGUUAUAGAGGACCCAUCUGAGGGACAGACAGGUUAUAGAGGACCCAUCUGAGGGACAGACAGGUUAUAGAGGACCCAUCUGAGGAACAGACAGGUUAUAGAGGACCCAUCUGAGGAACAGACAGACAGGUUAUAGAGGAUCCAUCUGAGGAACAGACAGACAGGUUAUAGAGGAUCCAUCUGAGGAACAGACAGGUUAUAGAGGACCCAUCUGAGGAACAGACAGGUUAUAGAGGACCCAUCUGAGGAACAGACAGACAGGUUAUAGAGGAUCCAUCUGAGGAACAGACAGACAGGUUAUAGAGGAUCCAUCUGAGGGACAGACAGGUUAGUCCCAGGUUAUAGAGGACCCAUCUGAGGAACAGACAGGUUAUAGAGGACCCAUCUGAGGAACAGACAGACAGGUUAUAGAGGACCCAUCUGAGGAACAGACAGACAGGUUAUAGAGGACCCAUCUGAGGAACAGACAGACAGGUUAUAGAGGACCCAUCUGAGGAACAGACAGACAGGUUAUAGAGGACCCAUCUGAGGAACAGACAGACAGGUUAUAGAGGAUCCAUCUGAGGGACAGACAGGUUAGUCCCAGG